CGAGUACGAGAUGCUACGGCAUCGACCAGUCUAUGUCAUACUUCCAAGAAAAGCUCGCACUGUCAAAAACAAAUUAAUGCCUGUACCAUAACCGACACAGGUGGGUAGGUAGAGUAUACUAAGGGGCGCGAGAUAACUCUCUCUAAGGAACUCGGCAAAAUAACUCCGUAACUUCGGGAGAAGGAGUGCCUUUUUAAGGCUGCAAUAACCAGAUCCAAGCAACUGUUUAUCAAAAACACAGGUCUCCGCUAAGUCGUAAGACGAUGUAUGGGGGCUGACGCCUGCCCAGUGCCAGAAGGUUAAAGAAGUUGGUUAGCCCUGCGAAGCUGAUGACUGAAGCCCUGGUGAACGGCGGCCGUAACUAUAACGGUCCUAAGGUAGCGAAAUUCCUUGUCGGGUAAGUUCCGACCCGCACGAAAGGCGUAAUGAUUUGGAUACUGUCUCGGAGAGGGACUCGGUGAAAUAGACUUGUCUGUGAAGAUGCGGACUACCUGCACCAGGACAGAAAGACCCUAUGAAGCUUUACUGUAACUUGAGAUUGAAAUUGGACUUUAUUCGCGCAGUAUAGGUGGGAGGCUUUGAAAGUAUUCUUGCGGGAAUAGUGGAGCCAUCAGUGAGAUACCACUCUUGUAAUGUUAGAUUUCUAACUUUGUAUCAUUAUCUGGUCAAAGAACAGUCUCAGGCGGGCAGUUUGACUGGGGCGGUCGCCUCCCAAACGGUAACGGAGGCGCACAAAGGUUUCCUCUGAACGGGUAGAAAUCGUAUCUAGAGUGUAAAGGCAUAAGGAAGCUUGACUGUGAGACCUACAAGUCGAGCAGGGACGAAAGUCGGUCUUAGUGAUCUGACGGUGCUGAGUGGAAAGGCCGUCACUCAACGGAUAAAAGUUACUCUAAGGAUAACAGGCUGAUCUCCCCCAAGAGUUCACAUCGACGGGGAGGUUUGGCACCUCGAUGUCGGCUCAUCGCAUCCUGGGGCGGUAGUACGUCCCAAGGGUUGGGCUGUUCGCCCAUGAAAGCGGUACGCGAGCUGGGUUCAGAACGUCGUGAGACAGUUCGGUCCAUAUCCGGUGUAGGCGUUAGAAUAUUGAGAGGAGCCUUCUUUAGUACGAGAGGACCGAGAAGGACAUACCUCUGGUGUACCAGUUAUCGUGCCAACGGUAAACGCUGGGUAGCUAUGUAUGGAGUGGAUAACCGCUGAAAGCAUCUAAGUGGGAAGCCCACCUCAAGAUAAG
This 1231-nucleotide ribosomal RNA is filed under the name metagenome. RNAcentral's name for it is "bacterial LSU rRNA". It matches the Rfam family "Bacterial large subunit ribosomal RNA", at positions 1564 to 2808 of the family's 2925-position model. The record is from RNAcentral.